AUGGUUAGCUACCCCCGGGACUGGGAUAGCGGCGGGAAACUGCCGGUAAUACCAGAUGACAUCUUCGGAUCAAAGGUGUGAAUCCGCCCGGGGAGGCGACCAUGUCCUAUCAGCUUGUUGGCGGGGUAACGGUCCACCAAGGCUAAGACGGGUAUGGGGCGUGAGAGCGUGCCCCCACUCACUGGGACUGAGACACUGCCCAGACACCUACGGGUGGCUGCAGUCGAGAAUCUUCGGCAAUGGGCGCAAGCCUGACCGAGCGACGCCGCGUGCGGGAUGAAGGCCUUCGGGUUGUAAACCGCUGUCGUAGGGGAGGAAGCAACCGUGAAGAACGGAAGUUGACCGAUCCUAGGAGGAAGGGCCGGCUAAUCUCGUGCCAGCAGCCGCGGUAAUACGAGAGGCCCAAACGUUAUUCGGAUUUACUGGGCUUAAAGAGUUCGUAGGCGGCGCAGAAAGUGGGGUGUGAAAGCCCUCGGCUCAACCGAGGAAUUGCGCUCCAAACUACUGUGCUU
This 512-nucleotide ribosomal RNA is filed under the name uncultured Planctomycetota bacterium. RNAcentral describes it as "bacterial SSU rRNA". It matches the Rfam family "Bacterial small subunit ribosomal RNA", at positions 117 to 643 of the family's 1533-position model. Lineage: Bacteria; Pseudomonadati; Planctomycetota. The record is from RNAcentral.